RNAcentral lists this ribosomal RNA (497 nucleotides) under uncultured bacterium. Its description in RNAcentral is "partial 16S ribosomal RNA". It matches the Rfam family "Bacterial small subunit ribosomal RNA", at positions 28 to 507 of the family's 1533-position model. The record is from RNAcentral.
GAUGAACGCUGGCGGCGUGCCUAAUACAUGCAAGUCGAGCGAACGGACGAGAAGCUUGCUUCUCUGAUGUUAGCGGCGGACGGGUGAGUAACACGUGGAUAACCUACCUAUAAGACUUGGAUAACUUCGGGAAACCGGAGCUAAUACCGGAUAAUAUUUUGAACCGCAUGGUUCAAAAGUGAAAGACGGUCUUGCUGUCACUUAUAGAUGGAUCCGCGCUGCAUUAGCUAGUUGGUAAGGUAACGGCUUACCAAGGCAACGAUGCAUAGCCGACCUGAGAGGGUGAUCGGCCACACUGGAACUGAGACACGGUCCAGACUCCUACGGGAGGCAGCAGUAGGGAAUCUUCCGCAAUGGGCGAAAGCCUGACGGAGCAACGCCGCGUGAGUGAUGAAGGUCUUCGGAUCGUAAAACUCUGUUAUUAGGGAAGAACAUAUGUGUAAGUAACUGUGCACAUCUUGACGGUACCUAAUCAGAAAGCCACGGCUAACUACGUG